CCCAUCAGAGUUCAGUUUAAUCAAACCUGUUCAGGAGGAGACAAGCAGCAAUGUCACAGCCCAAGGAAGAGGGUUCCUCGUCAUCAUCAGUCUGGGUGCUGGUUCCCUUUUCCUGGUUCUGCUAGCUGGGUCUGUGCUGUGUGUUCUCCAACGCAAGUGUGGGGUUCAAGGCAGGCCUGUAAAUACUGG
Salmo salar (Atlantic salmon) is the source of this 189-nucleotide non-coding RNA. The record is from RefSeq and is a predicted model, not a curated record. NCBI's taxonomy places the organism in Eukaryota, Metazoa, Chordata, Actinopteri, Salmoniformes, Salmonidae.